AAAGUCGUAACAAGGUUUCCGUAGGUGAACCUGCGGAAGGAUCAUUAACACGUAUCCACGUUUAUCACCCGAGAAUUAUCUUAGGAUCAAACUUAUUCGAAUAAAGCCUGAUACGAUCUCUCGAGAGGGAGAAAGUGUUGAGCCCGGCCCUACUUUUCGUUGUGGCCAUUGAAUUUGUUUUCCUUUGUUUGUACACCUUUACUUUGUUUUCUCCGGAUUACUUAGUAACUGAGUACAACAUACCCUCUGAGGACUUCGGUUCUCCUAGGGUAACUGUAAACCCCUUUUUUCUCAACUAAAGGCCGUCUCUUUGUAGACCGCUUUUAACCGAAUGCUGUACAACUCUUAGCAACGGAUAUCUUGGUUCUG
Molecule: unclassified non-coding RNA, 369 nt
Filed under: Basidiomycota sp.
Lineage: Eukaryota; Fungi; Basidiomycota
Description: partial contains small subunit ribosomal RNA, internal transcribed spacer 1, and 5.8S ribosomal RNA
Rfam family: Eukaryotic small subunit ribosomal RNA (bases 1-47)
Source: RNAcentral